AGAGUUUGAUCCUGGCUCAGAUUGAACGCUGGCGGCAUGCCUUACACAUGCAAGUCGAACGGUAACGCGGGGCAACCUGGCGACGAGUGGCGAACGGGUGAGUAAUAUAUCGGAACGUGCCCAGUAGUGGGGGGUAGCCCGGCGAAAGCCGGAUUAAUACCGCAUACGACCUACGGGUGAAAGCGGGGGAUCGCAAGGCCUCGCGCUAUUGGAGCGGCCGAUAUCAGAUUAGGUAGUUGGUGGGGUAAAAGCCUACCAAGCCGACGAUCUGUAGCUGGUCUGAGAGGACGACCAGCCACACUGGGACUGAGACACGGCCCAGACUCCUACGGGAGGCAGCAGUGGGGAAUUUUGGACAAUGGGCGCAAGCCUGAUCCAGCCAUGCCGCGUGCGGGAAGAAGGCCUUCGGGUUGUAAACCGCUUUUGUCAGGGAAGAAAUCUUCUGAGUUAAUACCUCGGGAGGAUGACGGUACCUGAAGAAUAAGCACCGGCUAACUACGUGCCAGCAGCCGCGGUAAUACGUAGGGUGCGAGCGUUAAUCGGAAUUACUGGGCGUAAAGCGUGCGCAGGCGGUUAUGCAAGACAGAUGUGAAAUCCCCGGGCUCAACCUGGGAACUGCAUUUGUGACUGCAUGGCUGGAGUGCGGCAGAGGGGGAUG
Molecule: ribosomal RNA, 658 nt
Filed under: uncultured bacterium
Lineage: Bacteria
Description: bacterial SSU rRNA
Rfam family: Bacterial small subunit ribosomal RNA
Source: RNAcentral